Passer domesticus (house sparrow) is the source of this 1265-nucleotide long non-coding RNA. RefSeq lists it as uncharacterized. NCBI's taxonomy places the organism in Eukaryota, Metazoa, Chordata, Aves, Passeriformes, Passeridae. The transcript has 3 exons. The record is from RefSeq and is a predicted model, not a curated record.
GGAGCGGUGCCUGUCCCGGGCAGUGCCUCAGCACGGCCGCCACGUCUUCCUCCCCAGCGCUGAGGGAGGAACCUGCCCUGGGCUUCAUCCUAGGGAGCUGUCUGCUCACCGACAAAACCCCGGGCACAGCAGGACCCGAGGAUUUAAAAAAAAAUACAAAAAAAACCCAAACAAAACCAGCAUCGCACCUUCUGGGUGAGGAGAUCUCGCUGAGAACCCCACGAGAGGCCCACCCAAGGCCAUGCUCUGGCACAGCAGCUCCGUGAAUCCCCUCACGCCCUCCUGAACCAGGUUUGAUAAAGCAACACAACAUGGUGAGGAAGAUAAGCAGCAAGUUAAAGAAGGCCUGCAGGGAGAAGCAGGUUACCCAGGAGACUGGAUACAGAGAUUUUUGUGACUAGAAGACUGCUCCAGGGGUUUAGUCUGAAGACAACUAAAGGCUGCAGCUGACAUCAGCAUCUCUGAGUUUUGCCCCUGGCUAUGGAGUUGAGAGCAGUGAAGGCACCACCUCAGCACAAAUACAUAUAUAUUAGCCACAAAGCCUUUCUGAAUAAGUAGUGAGGAAGGGCAUAUAGAAGUUGCCUGGCUCUACAAACUCCCUUUGAAAUCCCAGUGGGAAAUCAGCGAACAGAAUCAUUAUCUGGAUUGGAGGGGAAACUGAAGGCAUUUUGUAAAGCUGGUGGAAAGUCUCCUCCUGCAAUUGCACUGCAAAACAGACUAUGGCAAGGUGAUUUGGGGAGUGGUGAGGGUCACAUUAAUGUGGUGUCUUGACAAAUGCACUUGGAAGUCCUUCCUGAUCUCAGCAGCAACGAGCUGCUCCUCUGAUUUUCUAAAAUCUAACUAAAGCUUUGAGAUAUAAUUAAGAGACCACUCUUCAAGGUUCACUGGCACUCCAGAAGAUGAACUGACACACCAGAAGUGGUUUUAUGAAGUACAUAUGCUCACUCAGAACAUUCCAAGAAAACAACAGCCCUUGGGUUUUUUUUCUGAUUAAAAAUAUGAAAGAAAUGUUUUUUCCAGGCUUCAUGUAGCAGAGAAUGACUGGCAUGGAUGUGAACAAUUUGGUAUAGCUUGGGUUUCAAAUUGAAGCACUUUCACACACUGUGGAUUUACAAUGGGAUAAUUACUGGGGGAGGGAGGGAAGAGAGAGAGUUUCAAUAAAACACCUCCAAGCGAAAAUGAAUGCAGACUAUUACAGACCUGAGACAGAAUGAUUCCCAAGAGUUUUAAUUUGUGCUUCCACUCCUUGCCUCUCUUGCAGUCAU